GUUGUAUGGUUAAGUGACUAAGCGUACACGGUGGAUGCCUUGGCAGUCAGAGGCGAUGAAAGACGUAGUAACUUGCGAUAAGCCCAGAUUAGGUAGUAACAACCAUUUGAGUCUGGGAUUUCUGAAUGGGGAAACCCACGUGCAUAAGCACGUAUCCUUACCUGAAUACAUAGGGUAAGGAGGCGAACCGGGGGAACUGAAACAUCUAAGUACCCCGAGGAAAAGAAAUCAACCGAGAUUCCGAAAGUAGCGGCGAGCGAAAUUGGACUAGCCCUUAAGCUUUACACGCGUUAGACGAACGGUCUGGAAAGUCCGACGAUACAGGGUGAUAGUCCCGUAGUUGACGAUGUGUGUUCAGUGAAAUCGAGUAGGGCGGGACACGUGAUAUCCUGUCUGAAUAUGGGGGGACCAUCCUCCAAGGCUAAAUACUACUGACUGACCGAUAGUGAACCAGUACCGUGAGGGAAAGGCGAAAAGAACCCCUGUGAGGGGAGUGAAAUAGAACCUGAAACCGUGUACGUACAAGCAGUAGGAGCAGGCUUUGUCCUGUGACUGCGUACCUUUUGUAUAAUGGGUCAGCGACUUAUAUUCAGUGGCAAGGUUAACCAUCUAGGGGAGCCGUAGGGAAACCGAGUCUUAACUGGGCGUUCAGUCUCUGGAUAUAGACCCGAAACCAGGUGAUCUAGCCAUGGGCAGGUUGAAGGUUGAGUAACAUCAACUGGAGGACCGAACCGACUAAUGUUGAAAAAUUAGCGGAUGACUUGUGGCUAGGGGUGAAAGGCCAAUCAAACCUGGAGAUAGCUGGUUCUCCCCGAAAGCUAUUUAGGUAGCGCCUCGGACGAAUACUACUGGGGGUAGAGCACUGUUAAGGCUAGGGGGUCAUCCCGACUUACCAACCCUUUGCAAACUCCGAAUACCAGUAAGUACUAUCCGGGAGACACACGGCGGGUGCUAACGUCCGUCGUGGAGAGGGAAACAACCCAGACCGCCAGCUAAGGUCCCAAAUUACUACUAAGUGGGAAACGAUGUGGGAAGGCUCAGACAGCCAGGAUGUUGGCUUAGAAGCAGCCAUCAUUUAAAGAAAGCGUAAUAGCUCACUGGUCGAGUCGGCCUGCGCGGAAGAUGUAACGGGGCUAAGUAGUAAACCGAAGCUGCGGCAAUAUACUUUUGUAUAUUGGGUAGGGGAGCGUUCUGUAAGCGGUUGAAGGUGUGUGGUAACGCAUGCUGGACGUAUCAGAAGUGCGAAUGCUGACAUGAGUAACGAUAAAGGGGGUGAAAAACCUCCUCGCCGGAAGACCAAGGGUUCCUGUCCAACGUUAAUCGGGGCAGGGUAAGUCGACCCCUAAGGCGAGGCCGAAAGGCGUAGUCGAUGGGAAACGGGUUAAUAUUCCCGUACUUCUUACAAUUGCGAUGGGGGGACGGAGAAGGCUAGGUGGGCCUGGCGACGGUUGUCCAGGUUCAAGUGCGUAGGCUUGAGAGUUAGGUAAAUCCGGCUCUCUUUAAGGCUGAGACACGACGUCGAGCAUCUACGGAUGUGAAGUCAUUGAUGCCAUGCUUCCAGGAAAAGCCUCUAAGCUUCAGAUUGUAAGGAAUCGUACCCCAAACCGACACAGGUGGUCGGGUAGAGAAUACCAAGGCGCUUGAGAGAACUCGGGUGAAGGAACUAGGCAAAAUGGUACCGUAACUUCGGGAGAAGGUACGCUCUCGACGGUGAAGUCCCUCGCGGAUGGAGCUAUUGAGAGUCGCAGAUACCAGGUGGCUGCAACUGUUUAUUAAAAACACAGCACUGUGCAAAAUCGUAAGAUGACGUAUACGGUGUGACGCCUGCCCGGUGCCGGAAGGUUAAUUGAUGGGGUUAGACUUCGGUCGAAGCUCUUGAUCGAAGCCCCGGUAAACGGCGGCCGUAACUAUAACGGUCCUAAGGUAGCGAAAUUCCUUGUCGGGUAAGUUCCGACCUGCACGAAUGGCGUAAUGAUGGCCACGCUGUCUCCACCCGAGACUCAGUGAAAUUGAAAUCGCUGUGAAGAUGCAGUGUACCCGCGGCUAGACGGAAAGACCCCGUGAACCUUUACUACAGCUUGGCACUGAACAUUGACCCUACAUGUGUAGGAUAGGUGGGAGGCUUUGAAGCACGUACGCCAGUAUGUGUGGAGCCGUCCUUGAAAUACCACCCUUGUAGUGUUGAUGUUCUAACGUCGACCCCUUAUCGGGGUUGCGGACAGUGCCUGGUGGGUAGUUUGACUGGGGCGGUCUCCUCCCAAAGAGUAACGGAGGAGCACGAAGGUGGGCUAAUCACGGUUGGACAUCGUGAGGUUAGUGCAAUGGCAUAAGCCCGCUUGACUGCGAGAAUGACAAUUCGAGCAGGUGCGAAAGCAGGUCAUAGUGAUCCGGUGGUUCUGAAUGGAAGGGCCAUCGCUCAACGGAUAAAAGGUACUCCGGGGAUAACAGGCUGAUACCGCCCAAGAGUUCAUAUCGACGGCGGUGUUUGGCACCUCGAUGUCGGCUCAUCACAUCCUGGGGCUGAAGUCGGUCCCAAGGGUAUGGCUGUUCGCCAUUUAAAGUGGUACGCGAGCUGGGUUUAGAACGUCGUGAGACAGUUCGGUCCCUAUCUGCCGUGGGCGUUGGAAGAUUGAAGGGGGCUGCUCCUAGUACGAGAGGACCGGAGUGGACGAACCUCUGGUGUUCGGGUUGUGUCGCCAGACGCAUUGCCCGGUAGCUAAGUUCGGAAUCGAUAACCGCUGAAAGCAUCUAAGCGGGAAGCGAGCCCUGAGAUGAGUCUUCCCUGAUACUUUAAGUAUCCUAAAGGGUUGUCGGAGACUACGACGUUGAUAGGUCAGGUGUGUAAGUGCUGUGAGGCAUUGAGCUAACUGAUACUAAUUGCCCGUGAGGCUUAACCAUACAACACCCAAGGGGUUU
RNAcentral lists this ribosomal RNA (2916 nucleotides) under Vibrio parahaemolyticus. Its description in RNAcentral is "23S ribosomal RNA". It matches the Rfam family "Bacterial large subunit ribosomal RNA". The record is from RNAcentral. Lineage: Bacteria; Pseudomonadati; Pseudomonadota; Gammaproteobacteria; Vibrionales; Vibrionaceae.